AAUGCGGGCGAGAAACCCGCACACCGAAAGACUAAGGUUUCCUCAGCUAUGCUAAUCAGCUGAGGGUUAGUCGGGACCUAACGCGAACCCGAAAGGGGUAGUGGAUGGACAACAGGUUAAUAUUCCUGUACCUGCUCACAAUAAAAGUGACGGAGGCGUGAAUUUGGUGCGUACUGACGGAAUAGUACGUUGAAGCUAGUGGUAACACGGCAAUAGUACACUGAAACUUCGGUGAAUGUGAUAAUCCAGAGUAACGACUUCCAAGAAAAACAAGUGAAGCAGCCCGUACCCUAAACCGACACAGGUAGUCGGGAUGAGAAUUCUAAGGUGCUCGAGUGAUUCAUGGCUAAGGAACUAGGCAAAAUAGACCCGUAACUUCGGGAGAAGGGUCGCCCAUCUUCGGAUGGGCCGCAGUGAAAAGGUCCAGGCGACUGUUUAUCAAAAACACAGGGCUAUGCUAAAUCGAAAGAUGAUGUAUAUGGCCUGACACCUGCCCGGUGCUGGAAGGUUAAGUGGAGGGUUUAGCUUCGGCGAAGAUCUGAAAUGAAGCCCCAGUAAACGGCGGCCGUAACUAUAACGGUCCUAAGGUAGCGAAAUUCCUUGUCGGGUAAGUUCCGACCUGCACGAAUGGUGCAACGAUCUGGACACUGUCUCGGCCAUGAGCUCGGUGAAAUUGUAGUAUCGGUGAAGAUGCCGAUUACCCGCAGUGGGACGAAAAGACCCCGUGAACCUUUACUAUAGCUUAGUAUUGGCUUUGGAUAAGUAAUGUGUAGCAUAGGUGGAAGACUUUGAAGCGACAUCGCUAGGUGUUGUGGAGUCGAACCGUGAAAUACCACCCUUUGCUUAUCUGAAGUCUAACCUCUUUCGAGGGACAGUGCUUGGUGGGUAGUUUGACUGGGGUGGUCGCCUCCAAAAGAGUAACGGAGGCUUCUAAAGGUUCCCUCAGCACGCUUGGUAACCGUGCGUAGAGUGCAAUGGCAUAAGGGAGCUUGACUGAGAGACUGACAAGUCGAUCAGGUACGAAAGUAGAGCAUAGUGAUCCGGUGGUUCCGUAUGGAAGGGCCAUCGCUCAAAGGAUAAAAGGUACUCCGGGGAUAACAGGCUGAUCUCCCCCAAGAGCUCAUAUCGACGGGGGGGUUUGGCACCUCGAUG
RNAcentral lists this ribosomal RNA (1152 nucleotides) under Proteobacteria bacterium JGI 0000113-L05. RNAcentral describes it as "bacterial LSU rRNA". It matches the Rfam family "Bacterial large subunit ribosomal RNA", at positions 1314 to 2531 of the family's 2925-position model. Lineage: Bacteria; Pseudomonadati; Pseudomonadota. The record is from RNAcentral.